GACGAACGCUGGCGGCGUGCUUAACACAUGCAAGUCGAACGGAAAGGCCCUGCUUUGUGGGUGCUCGAGUGGCGAACGGUGAGUAACACGUGAGUAACCUGCCCUUGACUUUGGGAUAACUUCAGGAAACUGGGGCUAAUACCGGAUAGGAGCUCCUGCUGCAUGGUGGGGUUGGAAAGUUUCGGCGGUUGGGGAUGGACUCGCGGCUUAUCAGCUUGUUGGUGGGUAGUGGCUUACCAAGGCUUUGACGGGUAGCCGGCCUGAGAGGGUGACCGGCCACAUUGGGACUGAGAUACGGCCCAGACUCCUACGGGAGGCAGCAGUGGGGAAUAUUGCACAAUGGGCGGAAGCCUGAUGCAGCAACGCCGCGUGCGGGAUGACGGCCUCGGUGUAACGCUUCGUCCUCGUGACGAAGACGUGAGUGACGGUAA
RNAcentral lists this ribosomal RNA (431 nucleotides) under uncultured bacterium. RNAcentral describes it as "bacterial SSU rRNA". It matches the Rfam family "Bacterial small subunit ribosomal RNA", at positions 28 to 478 of the family's 1533-position model. The record is from RNAcentral.